CGGACGGGGGAGUAAUGUCUGGGAAACUGCCCGAUGGAGGGGGAUAACUACUGGAAACGGUAGCUAAUACCGCAUAAUGUCUACGGACCAAAGCGGGGGACCUCCGGGCCUCGCGCCAUCAGAUGAACCCAUAUGGGAUUAGCUUGUAGGUAAGGUAACGGCUUACCUAGGCGACGAUCCCUAGCUGGUCUGAGAGGAUGAUCAGCCACACUGGGACUGAGACACGGCCCAG
RNAcentral lists this ribosomal RNA (232 nucleotides) under uncultured bacterium. RNAcentral describes it as "partial 16S ribosomal RNA". It matches the Rfam family "Bacterial small subunit ribosomal RNA", at positions 99 to 334 of the family's 1533-position model. The record is from RNAcentral.